GUCUUUUUGAAAUAAAUUUAAAGUCUAAUCUGCCCACUGAUAAUAAUAAUUAAAUGGCCGCAGUAUUUUAACUGUGCAAAGGUAGCAUAAUCAUUAGUCUUUUAAUUGAGGGCUGGAAUGAAGGAUUGGACGAGAUAUAAGCUGUCUCAAUAUAAAUUUUUAUAGAAUUUUAUUUUUUAGUUAAAAAGCUAAAAUAAAUUUAAAAGACGAGAAGACCCUAUAGAUCUUUAUAUUAAUUAUAUAAUUUAUUUUUAAGAUAAUUUAAAUUAUUAUAUUUAUUAAUAUUAUGUUGGGGUGACAUUGAAAUUUAAUAAACUUUCAAAAUUUAUAAAACAUAAAUUAAUGAUUUUAAUUGAUCCUGUAAUAUGGAUAAAAAGAUUAAGUUACCUUAGGGAUAACAGCGUAAUUAUUUCGGAGAGUUCAUAUUGAUGAAAUAGAUUGCGACCUCGAUGUUGGAUUAAGAUUAAUAAUAGGUGUAGUCGCUUAUUAUAUUAAGUCUGUUCGACUUUUAAAUUCUU
Molecule: ribosomal RNA, 518 nt
Filed under: Argyra elongata
Lineage: Eukaryota; Metazoa; Arthropoda; Insecta; Diptera; Dolichopodidae
Description: partial 16S ribosomal RNA
Rfam family: Bacterial large subunit ribosomal RNA (bases 394-518)
Source: RNAcentral